CGGGAAACCGGGGCUAAUACCGAAUAAUCUCUUUUGCUUCAUGGUGAAAGACUGAAAGACGGCAUCUCGCUGUCGCUAUAGGAUGGGCCCGCGGCGCAUUAGCUAGUUGGUGAGGUAACGGCUCACCAAGGCGACGAUGCGUAGCCGACCUGAGAGGGUGAUCGGCCACACUGGGACUGAGACACGGCCCAGACUCCUACGGGAGGCAGCAGUAGGGAAUCUUCCACAAUGGGCGAAAGCCUGAUGGAGCAACGCCGCGUGAGUGAAGAAGGUUUUCGGAUCGUAAAACUCUGUUGUAAGG
Molecule: ribosomal RNA, 301 nt
Filed under: Lysinibacillus sphaericus
Lineage: Bacteria; Bacillati; Bacillota; Bacilli; Caryophanales; Bacillaceae
Description: bacterial SSU rRNA
Rfam family: Bacterial small subunit ribosomal RNA
Source: RNAcentral